GGUUAAGCGACUAAGCGUACACGGUGGAUGCCCUGGCAGUCAGAGGCGAUGAAGGACGUGCUAAUCUGCGAUAAGCGCCGGUAAGGUGAUAUGAACCGUUAUAACCGGCGAUUUCCGAAUGGGGAAACCCAGUGUGACUCGUCACACUAUCAUUAACUGAAUCCAUAGGUUAAUGAGGCGAACCGGGGGAACUGAAACAUCUAAGUACCCCGAGGAAAAGAAAUCAACCGAGAUUCCCCCAGUAGCGGCGAGCGAACGGGGAGGAGCCCAGAGCCUGAAUCAGCAUGUGUGUUAGUGGAAGCGUCUGGAAAGGCGCGCGAUACAGGGUGACAGCCCCGUACACAAAAGCGCAUGUGCUGUGAGCUCGAUGAGUAGGGCGGGACACGUGGUAUCCUGUCUGAAUAUGGGGGGACCAUCCUCCAAGGCUAAAUACUCCUGACUGACCGAUAGUGAACCAGUACCGUGAGGGAAAGGCGAAAAGAACCCCGGCGAGGGGAGUGAAAAAGAACCUGAAACCGUGUACGUACAAGCAGUGGGAGCCCCACCACCAAAGCAUUCUCUGGUGUUGAAGGCCCUGCAAAGCAGCAUCGCGGUGGCGGAGCGUCGUUUGCGACGCCCAACACACAAAACAAGCGGUGAGUGCUUUGGGGUGGGGUGACUGCGUACCUUUUGUAUAAUGGGUCAGCGACUUAUAUUCUGUAGCAAGGUUAACCGCAUAGGGGAGCCGGAGGGAAACCGAGUCUUAAUUGGGCGUUAAGUUGCAGGGUAUAGACCCGAAACCCGGUGAUCUAGCCAUGGGCAGGUUGAAGGUUGGGUAACACUAACUGGAGGACCGAACCGACUAAUGUUGAAAAAUUAGCGGAUGACCUGUGGCUGGGGGUGAAAGGCCAAUCAAACCGGGAGAUAGCUGGUUCUCCCCGAAAGCUAUUUAGGUAGCGCCUCGUGAAUUCAUCUCCGGGGGUAGAGCACUGUUUCGGCUAGGGGGCCAUCCCGGCUUACCAACCCGAUGCAAACUGCGAAUACCGGAGAAUGUUAUCACGGGAGACACACGGCGGGUGCUAACGUCCGUCGUGAAGAGGGAAACAACCCAGACCGCCAGCUAAGGUCCCAAAGUCAUGGUUAAGUGGGAAACGAUGUGGGAAGGCCCAGACAGCCAGGAUGUUGGCUUAGAAGCAGCCAUCAUUUAAAGAAAGCGUAAUAGCUCACUGGUCGAGUCGGCCUGCGCGGAAGAUGUAACGGGGCUAAACCAUGCACCGAAGCUGCGGCAGCGACACUGUGUGUUGUUGGGUAGGGGAGCGUUCUGUAAGCCUGCGAAGGUGGCCUGUGAGGGUUGCUGGAGGUAUCAGAAGUGCGAAUGCUGACAUAAGUAACGAUAAAGCGGGUGAAAAGCCCGCUCGCCGGAAGACCAAGGGUUCCUGUCCAACGUUAAUCGGGGCAGGGUGAGUCGACCCCUAAGGCGAGGCCGAAAGGCGUAGUCGAUGGGAAACGGGUUAAUAUUCCCGUACUUGGUGUUACUGCGAAGGGGGGACGGAGAAGGCUAUGUUGGCCGGGCGACGGUUGUCCCGGUUUAAGCGUGUAGGCUGGUUUUCCAGGCAAAUCCGGAAAAUCAAGGCUGAGGCGUGACGACGAGGCACUACGGUGCUGAAGCAACAAAUGCCCUGCUUCCAGGAAAAGCCUCUAAGCAUCAGGUAACAUCAAAUCGUACCCCAAACCGACACAGGUGGUCAGGUAGAGAAUACCAAGGCGCUUGAGAGAACUCGGGUGAAGGAACUAGGCAAAAUGGUGCCGUAACUUCGGGAGAAGGCACGCUGACACGUAGGUGAAGUGAUUUACUCAUGGAGCUGAAGUCAGUCGAAGAUACCAGCUGGCUGCAACUGUUUAUUAAAAACACAGCACUGUGCAAACACGAAAGUGGACGUAUACGGUGUGACGCCUGCCCGGUGCCGGAAGGUUAAUUGAUGGGGUCAGCGCAAGCGAAGCUCCUGAUCGAAGCCCCGGUAAACGGCGGCCGUAACUAUAACGGUCCUAAGGUAGCGAAAUUCCUUGUCGGGUAAGUUCCGACCUGCACGAAUGGCGUAAUGAUGGCCAGGCUGUCUCCACCCGAGACUCAGUGAAAUUGAACUCGCUGUGAAGAUGCAGUGUACCCGCGGCAAGACGGAAAGACCCCGUGAACCUUUACUAUAGCUUGACACUGAACAUUGAGCCUUGAUGUGUAGGAUAGGUGGGAGGCUUUGAAGUGUGGACGCCAGUCUGCAUGGAGCCGACCUUGAAAUACCACCCUUUAAUGUUUGAUGUUCUAACGUGGACCCGUAAUCCGGGUUGCGGACAGUGUCUGGUGGGUAGUUUGACUGGGGCGGUCUCCUCCUAAAGAGUAACGGAGGAGCACGAAGGUUGGCUAAUCCUGGUCGGACAUCAGGAGGUUAGUGCAAUGGCAUAAGCCAGCUUGACUGCGAGCGUGACGGCGCGAGCAGGUGCGAAAGCAGGUCAUAGUGAUCCGGUGGUUCUGAAUGGAAGGGCCAUCGCUCAACGGAUAAAAGGUACUCCGGGGAUAACAGGCUGAUACCGCCCAAGAGUUCAUAUCGACGGCGGUGUUUGGCACCUCGAUGUCGGCUCAUCACAUCCUGGGGCUGAAGUAGGUCCCAAGGGUAUGGCUGUUCGCCAUUUAAAGUGGUACGCGAGCUGGGUUUAGAACGUCGUGAGACAGUUCGGUCCCUAUCUGCCGUGGGCGCUGGAGAACUGAGGGGGGCUGCUCCUAGUACGAGAGGACCGGAGUGGACGCAUCACUGGUGUUCGGGUUGUCAUGCCAAUGGCACUGCCCGGUAGCUAAAUGCGGAAGAGAUAAGUGCUGAAAGCAUCUAAGCACGAAACUUGCCCCGAGAUGAGUUCUCCCUGAGACUUAGAGUCUCCUGAAGGAACGUUGAAGACGACGACGUUGAUAGGCCGGGUGUGUAAGCGCAGCGAUGCGUUGAGCUAACCGGUACUAAUGAACCGUGAGGCUUAACCUU
Molecule: ribosomal RNA, 3005 nt
Filed under: Salmonella enterica
Lineage: Bacteria; Pseudomonadati; Pseudomonadota; Gammaproteobacteria; Enterobacterales; Enterobacteriaceae
Description: 23S ribosomal RNA
Rfam family: Bacterial large subunit ribosomal RNA
Source: RNAcentral